This is a small nuclear RNA of Oncorhynchus tshawytscha (Chinook salmon), 181 nucleotides long. Its record names the gene U2. It matches the Rfam family "U2 spliceosomal RNA". From Rfam's summary of the family: U2 is a small nuclear RNA (snRNA) component of the spliceosome (involved in pre-mRNA splicing). Complementary binding between U2 snRNA (in an area lying towards the 5' end but 3' to hairpin I) and the branchpoint sequence (BPS) of the intron results the bulging out of an unpaired adenosine, on the BPS, which initiates a nucleophilic attack at the intronic 5' splice site, thus starting the first of two transesterification reactions that mediate splicing. The record is from Ensembl. NCBI's taxonomy places the organism in Eukaryota, Metazoa, Chordata, Actinopteri, Salmoniformes, Salmonidae.
AAAACUUUUCCAAAAGAAAAAAAGAAAAAUCUGUUCUUAUCAGUUUAAUAUCUGAUACGUCCCCUAUCUGGGGACCAUAUAUUAAAUUGAUUUUUGGAAUAGGGAGAUGGAAUAGGGCUUGCUCCGUCCACUCCACGCAUCGACCUGGUAUUGCAGUACCUCCAGGAACGGUGCACCCCCU